AUACGUAGGGGGCGAGCGUUGUCCGGAAUGAUUGGGCGUAAAGGGCGCGUAGGCGGCCCGGUAAGUCUGGAGUGAAAGUCCUGUUUUUAAGAUGGGAAUUGCUUUGGAUACUGUCGGGCUUGGGUGCAGGAGAGGUAAGUGGAAUUCCCAGUGUAGCGGUGAAAUGCGUAGAGAUUGGGAGGAACACCAGUGGCGAAGGCGACUUACUGGACUGUAACUGACGCUGAGGCGCGAAAGUGUGGUGAGCAAACAGGAUUAGAUACCCUGGUAGUCCACACUGUAAACGAUGAAUGCUAGGUGUAGGGGGUAUCGACCCCUUCUGUGCCGCAGUCAACACAAUAAGCAUUCCGCCUGGGGAGUACGGCCGCAAGGUUGAAACUCAAAUGAAUUGACGGGGG
Molecule: ribosomal RNA, 398 nt
Filed under: uncultured bacterium
Lineage: Bacteria
Description: partial 16S ribosomal RNA
Rfam family: Bacterial small subunit ribosomal RNA
Source: RNAcentral